AUGAGAAGAAGCGGUAAUAAUUUAAGUGAGGGAACAAGAAAACAAAAUAAAAUUCACCUUUGGCGUGACAUCUUUCAUGGCUUUCAUGAGUUCCUUGAAACAAUCAUCAUUCUCUUUGUAAUACAUACAAAGAUGUUUCAGGGUUUCAGCUGCAGUUAUUCUGUAUGCGUUGUGGUCAGCCUUAAAGAGCAUCCUACUGAGAUCAUCGACACCACCACCAUUUUCCUUCAAGAAGAUGAAUCAGAAGUGAAGAUGCGAGCCAUUGUCUCGAUGAAUUUUCCUCGGCUUUUGGUGCCCACUCCCGGAGCUGCAUCCAUGGGUAGUUUUAUUCUCGCCGGUGCUUCCGGGAGAAGUCACGAUGCGGCACAUGACUUGCAGUGA
This 381-nucleotide ribosomal RNA is filed under the name Triticum aestivum (bread wheat). RNAcentral describes it as "partial small subunit ribosomal RNA". Lineage: Eukaryota; Viridiplantae; Streptophyta; Magnoliopsida; Poales; Poaceae. The record is from RNAcentral.